RNAcentral lists this ribosomal RNA (325 nucleotides) under uncultured microorganism. RNAcentral's name for it is "bacterial SSU rRNA". It matches the Rfam family "Bacterial small subunit ribosomal RNA", at positions 346 to 664 of the family's 1533-position model. The record is from RNAcentral.
GCGCACCAGGCGAGAAUCUUCCACAAUGGGGAAACCCUGAUGGAGCGACGCCGCGUGCGGGAUGAAGGCCCUAUGGGUUGUAAACCGCUGUUCAGUGGAAAGAACAUCCUCCGGCUGAAUAGGUCGGAGGCCUGACGUUACCACUGCAGAAAGUCCCGGCAACUCCGUGCCAGCAGCCGCGGUAAAUACGGGGGGACGAGCGUUGUCCGGAAUCAUUGGGCGUAAAGGGCGCGUAGGCGGCGAGGAAGUCGAAUGUGAAAUCUCGCGGCUCAACUGCAAAACUGCGUUCGAAACUUCCUCGCUUGAGUAUGAGAGAGGUGUGCGG